This 354-nucleotide ribosomal RNA is filed under the name uncultured bacterium. Its description in RNAcentral is "partial 16S ribosomal RNA". It matches the Rfam family "Bacterial small subunit ribosomal RNA", at positions 338 to 684 of the family's 1533-position model. The record is from RNAcentral.
CCUACGGGCGGCAGCAGUGGGGAAUAUUGCGCAAUGGGCGAAAGCCUGACGCAGCGACGCCGCGUGAGGGAUGAAGGUCUUCGGAUCGUAAACCUCUGUCAGCAGGGAAGAACGGUCACUGUGCUAAUCAGCAGUGAAUUGACGGUACCUGCAAAGGAAGCACCGGCUAACUCCGUGCCAGCAGCGGCGGUAAUACGGGGGGGGCGAGCGUUAAUCGGAAUUACUGGGCGUAAAGCGCGCGUAGGCGGUAUGUCAAGUCAAGGGUGAAAUCCCCGCGACCAACGUGGGAACUGCUUUUGAAACUGGCAAACUGGAGUGUGUGAGAGGAUAGUGGAAUUCCAGGUGUAGGAGUGA